CGAGGGGAGCGCGGCUCCGCUGCAGCAGCUCCGGAGCCCGGCACGGCGCUCCGCAGAGCGUGACAGCCGAGCCUUCCGCACGGCAUCGCCACGGCGUUGCUCGCCUCGACCCCUUUAACUUUAUUUCGGGGUUUUGCGGGUUCGGGGGUUUGGUGGCCGCACGUACCCCGACACUGUAACGCGACCUCCGUUCUGUACCACGAGCAGGUAACAGAGCUAAGCACGGGGACGUGUUUAUUUGCCGCUGUAUGGAGCUACCGGCCAGCGGAGCGGGGACUCGAGUCCGUCUCCCGGUGAAAAUGGCCAAAAGACACUCGAACAAGCGAAGGGACGGAGAGAUAAAAUAGAAAACAUGUUAGCACAGACAGAUAAAUGCCCGGCCGGACCGUUCCUCCUCCGCGAACACACGCGUCUGUGAGCGCUCGCAUCCCGGCCGGUCACCAAGCACGGCCGCGGGGACACAGACCUGGGCACAACUCUGUCAGGGAUUCAUUGCCCCUCACCUCCUCACACACACUUUUUCAUGUUGCCACAUGCUCACACACUUGUGCCGCAGAAAUAAAACGUGUGGCUAAAGCCGCAGGUGCGGAGAUGGUUGGAAAGUUGUAAAAAGCACCUCGACUUGAGGGUGUCCUGCCGGGAAACCUGGCGUGUUUCAGACCCCACGGGCGAAGAGGUUUUUGCGACUCAAUUUCAAAGACAAGGCUGCAGCGUUCCCAUUGAUCCUCACGGAGCAAAAAAUAACCUUUACCCGAAACAGUGACCAGGAGGGACUGGGAAGACAGAAAGUAGGGAAGGAAUCUUUCCAGGUUAAAAUGUGGGGAACUGCCUUAUGGUUUCCAAACAAGCCAGAGCUGAGGAGGUGACCUUUCGGGGAGGGUAGGAGAAGGUGGGGGUUCAAAAUACAGAAUAGCCACAGAUUGUUGCUGAUGUUGGAUUUCCUGAGGAAAAAAAUAAAAGCCAAAACCCAAAGCACAACCCAACGCCAACCUUUCCUGUCUCGAAUCUGACAAAGUAAACAGGAUUAAUUCACCAUAUGAAAAAACAUAAACGCCGUCCUAACAAAUGCAGAAAUCACAAGAGAAAGCGGUUUUAACAGGACGCACAAUAUUAAUAGUUUGAACGUAUGAUCGUAAAAAUGAAAAACCAUUGAUAUACGCUUAAAAGCCGCCGUAUACGCUGAUUGCUCAAGCAUUAAUGAAGAAUGCCCCAGAUUAACUAUUUGCUCUUCGAGGGAUGCAGCGAUAUAACUAUCUAUUAGCACCAUUAGAUGCUUUGCUAUUUAUUUGAAAACACCCCUGCGAGUGGGUUGAGACAGAGGAGAUGAAUGUAAAAAUGAACUGCAGCUAAUUUCGCUAAAUAAUCCUCGAAACCUGAGCGCUUCGCAAGGAAGGGGGAGAUUCUCCACUGUCCUUCUCCGAGGCUUAAUGACAAUAGAAAUGCUCUGGUUUAAAAGUGAGACCGUGUUGGUUUUCCAAAUAAACAAACGCAUCCCUCCUGCCAUUUUACUGCAGAUGUAAAUUUAUUUUAAUGAGAGGGAGUGGAAGGAUUUAUUUUGCUAAAAUUGAGUUGGGGAUAGAGCCGGUGUAAAUCUUUAGGUUUCAAAAAGAGAGGAGGAAGGAGGGGGAAGCUGCUUUCCUGGCAGAAAGCUGCCUAACAGUCCUCUAAUUCUUUCUAGAUUAAAUCGCAAUAUGAAUACAGCAUCGAACAAAUACCGAGUUUCGCUCUGAACUCAGUGGAAAGCAGUUACGUCUAACAGAAUUCAAUGAAUUCCUCUUCUCCCUCAAUGUAGUAUGUGUGUGUUUUUCUCUUCCACCACACUGAAGUUCCAUGAAUAGGGAAAGUGGCUCCUAUUGUGUGCCUCUGAACUUCCAAGUCAAUGCAAUUUUUAACCACUGGCUUGUGGUACUUUGAAAAUCACCAGGGGCUGUCAGAGUUGGGUCCUCUGAAAAAUUUACAGUGCUAAAUCAGAGCAUAUGCUGUGAGAGAGGAAAAAAAAUUGCUUAAGAUUGGAGCAAGUACAGUAUCUGGCUGCCCCCUAGUGUAAGUCUCUUAUCUGCCUAAAAUUCAACUUUAAAAGAAAAGGAUCUCUUAAAGGGAAACGACUUUUGGCUCACGUAUGCAUACGAGAAUGAAACUUCUGUACAUUUUAAUCUGAUUAAUUCCUAAGGAUUUAAAAUUAAUUGGCUUGGGCACUCCUAGACCGGACUAUAAGAUUUCUGCAUCAGGGUUUCUGCGAGAGCUGUGCCGAAUAGGAUCCGAGCCUCGCUUGCUGUUGUCAGAGCAAAACACUUCUGCCGCUUAAAGUCAGAUCUACGUCUUUUGCAAUAAUACUUAAAAAAAAAAAAAAAAAAAGGAUAAAUAAUUGCCUUAAAGCCUCAGCCGAACUGCCAACCACACCUUCGGAUGUUAGAAGGCAGAAAUAUGUGAACUGCUGAGAGAGGUGGGUACUUUUUGGUAAGUAUGUUUAGAUAUGAUCUUCAGAUACAUUUAUUGUACUUUCAAAUUCUUGGGAUACUAAUUGAGCUAGCAAACAAUAUCCCAGCUGAAUGUCUCAGCUUCUUCCCUAUUUAACAGGCUUUAAUGUAGAAGUAUAUUGUAGCCAUCCUUCUACCAAACAAUGUGGCUGAGGAGUCAGCAAAAAAUGAAAAAAACAUGUUAAAACCAAAUUAUAAUUGCUGCCUUAUAUCUGACUCUUCUUCCUUUCCGCAGUUCUAAUGAACUCUUUAAAGUUUUAUUUAUUUAUUUUUUUUAUUUCUGACUGACAGAUCAAAAAUAAUUAGCAGAAUCAGAAGCAGCCGGGAAGCUUGAAAUAAUGUGUCUAAAUAUUUCAUAUUGCUACUUAUAAUACCAGCCCUUCAGCUGUAAAAAGGAACCAUUCCCUAUUUAUUCUGUGGUGGUUUAUAAAUACAGAAGGAUAGAUUCUUUUUUUUUUCCCAGGGCCUGUCUCAACGAUGCCAUAAAUAGAGAUUGAGCUAUCAGGAGGGAAGAAAAAAAAAAGAGAAAGAAUAAAAUAAAAGCAAAACCCUGGACAGGAAUAGAGACAGACAGAUAAAUAUAUAACUGCAUCUGAACAAUGUUACGUAGCACAUUAGGAGUUGGUAAAAAAAAAAUUAAAUCUAUCGCAUAUUUAUAACCUCAUAAUUAAAAUACAUUCUUAUCUCUCUCCUCUGAAAGGUUGCAGCUUUCUUGGAAGUAUUUUGAGUGCAUAUUUUAAACUCCAUGUCUCGAACUGAAUUAAGAUGAGCUGUUUUGCCCAAGAGUAAAACCUUUGUUUACAAUUUAAUAUUUAACUUUCAGCUGCCUACCCAUCGCCAUAUCAUUUUCUUUAGAUUUUACCUCUUUACAGUUGCAGGCUUUAUUUAAAAUGAUGUUAGCUCAUAUCAAAUCCUAAUUUCUUAUCAUAAGGAAAUGAGUCUAUAUAAUCCAAAACAGUCCCCCUGGUCUGAUCGAGGUAAAUUGGAUGAGAAUCUUUCACAUUCAAAGGGUUAAAGCUAAACCGAAAACUUUAAAGCAAAGAGAUACCAGCAAACAGUGAAAAAUGGUACAUCUGCUCUCUCUUGACAAGCUUGCAUUAUAUCAUAUGUAAGGAAGCCCAAAUUUUUGAAUCUAAGACCAGUUUUAGUUUUUAAUAGGAAAUAAUUACAUGGAACUUUAUUUCCAGAGAGAAUGUCCCUUCCAGCUACAGUGUUUUGCUUUGAUCUAAGUAUUAACUGGUAAUAAAAUAACCAUAUUUUGGAUCCUAAGCAUAUUGAUGCUUAGAGGAAUGUUAUGCUUUCAAUCAAAUUUUAACUUUAGAUUAUCCGAAGGUAUUCAUCCCUCUUUUGUCAGAAACCAAUUUGCUCUCUUACUCCUACAGCUACUCACAUGUGGUUUGGUACACUUUGUUAUUUUAUAGUGGAAUUUGCACUAUUGAGGUGGAAAACUUUUAGGUGGAAUGAGAUCAUGUUCCAGCCUGGCAAUUUGGGCUGUUUCUCAUACAGGUCCCCAGCCCAGCCCUUCUUUACACUUGUUGUGCCCCAGCACCAUCGCUCACUCUGAGGGCGACCGCCGCAUCAGGAUUUUGUUUUAAAUAUUCAGAUUUUUAAAAAUUUAUUAAUUUAUUUUUUUUUAAACCUGGAGAAUCAAUCAUCUGGACCCAUCCUGAACAAUUAACCUCCCCUUUAUAUUAGAGCCCCAAGUGCAGUACUUCAUAAAGACAUGAAAAGGACAUCCCAGUCAGCAGGACCCGAGCCCAGGCUUGUCACAGAGUAUAAAAGGAGAGAGAAGGGGAGUUUUUAUCUCUUUGCCCCGCCAAUUCUUAAUAGUUCUAAGUUUCAGUGUGACAAUAAAACAGUUUUGAUAACAUAGCUCAUGGGUUUCUCUGCCACAUAAAGUUUUCUUAAUAAUAAAAAAGAAGAAACUUUAUCCCUGCUAAAUUAAAAUAGGGCAGAUGUUGGAUAUGGUUCAUAUUAGCCAGCCUUUCACCCCUUUGCCCCUGGCACUAAAGUUCUGACUUUUUCUUUCUACUAUGUCUGUUUCUAACUGAAAGGUAUUAUUCCUGCCCUGGCUCUCUUCUUCUAUUUAUUUUUUCAGUGUCUAAAAUUAAACCUAUUCAUUUAGUAAUAUACAUUCUAUUUCACAUUGCUAAACCUGGCCAGAGAGGGGAAACGCUUUCCAAAAAAGUGAUGCACCACUGACCUUAAAAGAAAACAUGAAGCAGGGAAAGCUGUUCUUAAAAGGUUUAUUUCUAGAGAAUUUUGUAGCUCUGUUGACAUUAUAGGGAUAAUGACUGUAUUGCAAUGGGCUUUCAAGGCCCAAGAGGUUUAUGUUUUCUUCUGACCGUAAGUCUAAUAAAAUUUUAAAGGUGCACAAAGUCUCAUCACUUUAGAUAUUUAAAACUAGUUUGAAAAAUCUCUUGGGAAACAUAUAUUAUGGUGGAUAGCCCCACUGAGAAAGCAGGGGAUAGACAAAAAAAUACCCUGAGUCCAAACCCAAAUAAACCCCCCCCCAGUUUUUUCAUGCUAGCUCUAUGAAAAUCCUGCCUAUUAAACUCCCAAGGAUAGUGCAGCUAUUUUCUGCAGGGCUCUGCAGAUAGAAUUUAUUGUCCAUUUGGAAUGAUCAAGUUUAGGCUAAUAAAAGGGCCUCUGUAAGCAGAAAUGCCCAAGUUGAUGUUUGGCAGAGUUUUCAAUGGUGGAGUUUAUACAGGACGGGGGCUCUGCACUAUUUGAAAUAACUCCCAUCCCAGCAGCUGAAGAUGAUCUGACACACGAGCAAACCUUAGCAGGCAGUGACUGAAGGUUAAUCAGCGCUGCUUUCUGAGCUGGCUGCUUGAAAGCAGGAAAAAGUGAAAGCUGCUUUCUCUAGCCCUUCCCUAUGCUAAGGUGCUGCUAACUUUUAUGAUUUUUUUUUCCCCCUUCCUCUUUUACUAUCUGUCUUUGUGCCUGAGGGCCAGUGAAAGAACACUGCAGAUUCUAGAUUGCUUUCAGAGUUUCCCUUUGCUGAUGAUGGAUUACCAUGUCAAUUUAAACGGCAUAGGAUUAAUUUGUUUCAAUGAUUUCUCUUUAGGCUGAAUGCCAGUCUUUUUUUUUUUCUAUCUCUCUCCUUGCUCUUCAGAAAAAAUAAUAACAAUAAUAAUAAUAAAUCCUUAAACCCCCCCAAAGACUUUUGAGAUCCCAUGUUAAAAAGACAAUAAUAGAAAUAGACAAGUUAGGUGUAAUGUUGCAACACAGUUGUAGGUUUGAGUGUUUUUAUCUCGUUCUAAGGGGCUGCAGCAUACAGUCAGUCACAUUAAAAUGAAAUUGGAUCCAACGUUUAUUCAAUAAAUACUUGUCUUGUAGGUAAUCCAGAACAGAGUGCUUUUGACACAUAAGGACUUAAUUUGUCUUGGAUAACAAGUUAUUAAUAUGGCACAUUUAAACUUGCCACCUACAAUAAGGUCAUUUAGAUCUAUAAUACGACUCACGAGAGAACUUCAUAAAGCCAGAAACAAAGUUUGAGGCUGCCUCUGCGGCGCGAAGCAGACGCACGGCUCACGGUUUGCUCUUUUCAGAAGAAAGUUCAGAGCAAGUAGGAGCCACCCAAACCCAAAUGGUGUGCAUCUGCUCCUCUUUGAAAGGCAAAACGUAAAUGGAGUAAGGAGGGGAGAGAGAGGGAAAAAAAAAAAAAAAAAAAAAAAAAAAGAGGAACCCAAACACACAUUUUUGAAUGAGUAAGCUUUAAAGCUGUGCUGCGUCUGCUCGCAAACUCAUCGCAGCUUUGAAAGUGAAAAAACAACAUUUGGUUCAGAGUGGAAAUUCGCCUGCAUUUGCACCCUACCUCUUCCAUGUGCUUCGCAAUUUACUCGCUUUUAAUAAUAAGCGAGGAAGUUGGAACAUAAUCCACCCAUAAAUGUUAUUGCUGUAAUUUGACUGCUCUGUGUUUGUUCAUGCAUUAGUUGUAUAUGUAAAGCGAAGUGGGGAUGGAUGGUGGGGAUCCCCGUGCAGCACGAACAAACAGAGCUCUUUGGGAUUUCAACACCCAAACAUCCUGCAAUUGUUCUGAGUUCUGGUUUCAGACCUGUCCUAACCCUGUGGUGCCUGCAAGAGGUGCAUCAGGAGGGGAAUAUUGUGGGAAUGCUGCUCGGGACGUGUUUGGCUUCUCCGGACCUUGUCUGGGUUUAAUCACAGGCUUUGGGACAAAAUGUGCAUUAUUAAGAAGUAUAAAUAUUUUCAGAAGCAAUCAAAGGGUUGAAAGAUUGAUUCGGCAUGUAGAUUGGAUUUAAUUCGAAGCAGCUUUGUUCUAAUGAGGACUACCGGGAUACAAAGACGGCAGCCGCUUAUGGCCACCAGUUGGGAACUUCCACGCGCUGCAGCAACCUGUCAAGAAUUCCAAGGAACUGCCAGGGUAAAAUUGCCUGCAGGGAACGUUUGCUGAAGCCUGUUAAUUCCUCCUGAGGUCAGUGGGUACCGGGUGCUGGGCAGCACAGCCUCUCCUGGCCGGGCACGGUGGGCUCCGGCUGCUUCCCAAGAGACAGGGACAGCGAUGAAGAACGUGGGAUUUCCCACAGGAAUCUGGAAGACGCCCAUGUCUAAGGCAAUGGUGAGGAUUGGGCCAAAAUCCAGCCUUGAUUCCUUCACGCAAGUGACCCAGUGCUGACCCAUGGCUGCUGAUGGAUCGCAGUGAUGUGGACCUUCCUCCCUCCCUGCCUCCCUCCUCGCUGCCCUGCAUCAGAUCACCAGGAGCACCUGAGAGCACUGGAUGAACCAUCACAAGACCAUGAUUGGAAAGCAGGGGGACCAAGCACUCAAAGGUGGCUGAUGCAGCUGGUUCCCUGGCCCUGGACUCAGCUCUUGGUCAUGGCACAAGCACCAGAGGCCAGAGGUGGGGACUCUUUCUGUCUUGGCUACUCCUCAUCAGUGCUUUGAGCUGCAGGAAGCCCUGAGAACCAAGGAAACACGAGUGCACCACCAGGGAUUUGCUCCUCUCUACACCUGAAGCACAGCACAAAGUUCCACCCUUUGCUUCCGCAGCAAGUUCUUGUUACCCAAUUCCUGCUGGCAACAGAGGAAGAGGCACAAGUCAGCUCAGAAAAUGAACGACUAGAAGACUCAGUGAUACUGAACCAUGCUGGUUCCUGCUUUCAGGCUGGGGUCACAAGUUUGACUUGGAAGAAGGAACUUCCAUGCAGAGAUGUGACUGCAGUGUGAAUACUGUGCCAGGUUUUCUUUACAGAUGAAACCUGGAGUGUCCUAAAAUCCAGAAACUACUCAAUACCAGCAACUUCCACACCCCUGUGUGCUCCUGCCAUUGCUUUGAACCAGUUUAUUUAUUCAUUUGGGCUCUGAGCACUCGGAUGCAUUCCUUCUUGCUGCAGCAGCAGGGGUACAGGAAGGGGUGUUUGAAGCCAUGCAGUCAAUUCCACCCUGGAUUUCAGGAGGAGUUAUUCUUGUCUCAGGGAUGACGCAUUCAAAUAUCCCUCUACGGAUUCCAGGUGAGUUAGUCACAUUUAGAUGCUUCCAAGUAAUACACAGAAAGGUGGUGAGAAAAUGAUGAGUCUCUGCCUGGUCACAAAAAGAAAAAAAGCUCAGGAAAGUAGAUCUGAGCAAAUUAUAUGUGCUAGCCCUCAAGAUAUUCUAAAAAGACCUGGGGCCAAAGGGCUUUUGCCUUAAAAACAGUAGGGAUGCACAGUAUUUACUUUACUGACUGACCCAUCAGCUGCUCUCUGUCCCCAGAAACAGUUCAGGAAAUAACUGGAAGUAUCUGAAGACAUAAAAAGGAUAAUUAAGUUUCAUUGUGGAAAUAAGAGGGUAAUCUGUCCAGACAAAUCUAGGACCUAGUACUGAAAGCUGUAGUAUCUGAAUAUAAAAAAUGAGUAAUUUUGAAAAGAGAUGUCUAUCAGGACUGUAAAUUCAGAGAGUAAAAAAGUAGCUUUGCUUAAUAGACCAUCUCUCUCUCCAUCUCCCUCUAACUCAUUUUCUUAUUCUCUUUCUUCCCUCUGUGUUAUUGCAAAAAAAAAUGUGUGCAAAAUCUGAUAUUGAGAAUGCUUUAGCUUCAUUUCCAUCUUCUAUUCUCAAAAUGUUUUGUUCCACUGGGAAGAUUUCCCCCGGGAGAUAACCUCAGCCAUGGCUGCACGAGGCUUGUGGGGUGACUGGUUUGCAAAGCUGCAUUUUGAGGUGGCUCUGGGGCAGCCACGUCCCCACUCUGCUGAGGCUCUUAAGGAUAUUUGUGAGCUGGCAUGAGAAAUCACCUGGGACCCAGAGCAGACCACAAGUGCUUAGGACAGUGUUUUCUCUGCACCUUUUCUUGCUGAGCAGAGCUGCAGCACCAUAAACAAGUGUGAGUUUUGCCUCAUUCUCAGGUCCUGUGAGUUAUGAAAGCCCACUCCAGAUGUAAUGAAUGUAUAGAUCACUUUGACCAGAUCAUAAUCUAUUAGUAAAUGAUGCUCUCUGAAAAUGUAUAGGUGAAAUAAAGAACUUCUUGCUACUAUUGCUGUAUUGGUAUCAAGGAUUACUGUGGAGGCCAACAUGAUCCUCAGGCUUUGUGCUACUGACAUUUAAAUACAAUGCAGAAUUAACCACAGGGUUUGGUUGGUAAAUUCCCUUCUGGAUUAGGAUAUUCAGGGCUUACACUGCUGGAAACAGAACCCAAAACUAUACAAGGCUUACAUCUGCCUUGGCCUCAGCUCACUGACACCCUCAUUCAUAUUUACAGAAUUUUUCCAUUAGAUUCCUAAUUUUGGUGGUGAUAUUAAUUAGCAAAUCACACAAUAAUUUUCAGCAUGAGUAGACAGAGCAAGCCUCUAUAAUACCUAUGACUUUUCCUUGCUAUCCCUGGAGGAAGCCCAAGGGUACCAGACUAAGACCUAAGGCAAAUUGUCAGCACAGUCUGUAGGCCAUGGGAAGGUUAGGUUUAAAGAAGAUGUCACUUUGGGGACAUCUGUGUGACACAUGCUGCAGUGUCCAGACAUUGGAGACUAUGUUUUUGCUCUAAAUCUAGAGAGGAAGUCAAUAGGAAAAAAAAAAAGGGAAAGAAGCACAGGGGAAUAAAAGUACUUUUGAAAGAGAAGAAAUCUACAUUUCAAUGAAAAUCCUUUCAAGGCAUUUCAAAUAAGAGUCUGAGAGAAAUAAUUACAAAGUUUGGAGAGAAAGAACGUUAGCUUUGAUAUCUUUUUCUUCUAUGAAGCAAUUAAAAUAAGCAAUUUUUCAAAUACUAAGCAGAAAAUUACUAAUGGCUGAACCCAAAAGCUUUCAUUUCCUUCUUGGGGCCUUUAUUCUUCUAAAAAAAGACAAAAAAAAUGUGAAGGUGGUUUUCCAGAUAGAUUAAUGCAUAAAGCAGCCGCUGGUUGGAUGUCAUAAAAACUACAGCAGCAUAGAAUAGCUGAGAUUAAGAGCUAGAUUUAAAUCAUGCAACAGUCCAGUUAAUAUCAAUGUCUAAUUAAGAAAUGCAUAAGAAGUCUGUAAUGUUGAUUUGAUGGAGAAAAACUCUAAUAGGGUUUCUUUUGGAAUUUUCCAUUUCAAUUGCUGUGUAGACUUUUAAUGGAUGUCCUAUCCAGUCUUUGGUAUUAGCAGGAAUCAUCCUCAAAUUAAAACCAAGGCCUAAAAUGGAACACAGGUAGACAAAUUAGCUGGUCUGGGAAGCAGCCUGGGCAGAAUGACAAUGUGAGCUGAAGCCGAAAUUUGAGUACAAAUAAAAGAGAAUAAAAGUCUCAAAUCUGGCGUGGAAACCCUCUCUGCUUCUCGUUUGAAGCAAUCUAAAACCCUGUAAUUUGAAACAAUGCAAUGUUAACCCAUUUCCCCACCUCCCUGAGCCUGCAGAAAUCCCUGACAAUUCAUACUUAGACACCUAGACCACUAGGCAUUAUUAAUUAGUCUUUUUUAUUUAAAAGGCUUUCCAUAGUUAUGCAUAUUAGGAGUGUGUAGAGGUGGGUUCUUCUCUGCCUGUGAUGGGAUUUCGAGCACACAGGUCCCUGUCACCAUCAACGAGCACCAUUAAUCUCCCACUCCUCCCUGGGUAACUAAAUCUCUCAAACCCCUGGAGCAAAACUAAGCCUGUGGCGUCUUCUGUGUCCCAUGGAUCAUCCAAGACAUUUGGUCUCUCGAUAUGAGAGGGGAACUGGUUUUGAGCACAUGACUGAUGCCCUGAAGUUGCUAAAAGAGGAGCAGUGUAACUCUUGGUAUGCACAAAUCCAUUUAGCAAAGAGGGGGAAAGCACAGUUAAAGCAGCACUGUAUUUGUUAUCACCACUCUGCUGUUGAUCCAACAGAUCCAGAGGGAAUGAUCUCAAGGAUCCAGGAAGAUGGCACACUCAGAAGAACCCCUCUGACCAGUGCAUGCUGGGGAAUAAUUUUAAAGUUCAUUAGAACACCUUAAAAUAUAAUACAUUGGCCAUGGCAAAGCAAGGCACGUGAUUCCAUCUGUCUACAUGUCUCUUUCCAGUAUUAAAUCCAUCCAGAGACCUUUCAGAAUUAUAUCAUUAAGUCUUGCCACUUCCACAGAGAGUGGGAAAGACUGGAGGUGAAAAUCAGAGUAACAGUGAAAUUUUGGCACUUUUAUUUUUGGGUCAUUGCCAGAAAUGUCACAGUCCAAAUUCAUGCCUCAUUGCUCGGUUGACCCAUGAGGCACAGAUAUAUCAUAUUAAAGAGUGAUACCAUGGCCCUGGGGCAUGCCCCAAGGAUUUUUCACCUUGAGAUGGGAACAAGGAUGCUCUCAGCGAGGCAGCUGCCUUCUCAGUGGUACAGGAGGUCUGAUGUGAGGACACUCAGGCCACCAGAGGAGUCUGGGUUUAUUUACCAUGCUCUUGACUGUAAAACUGGGAGGUGCCAUGGGUCGGGAUGAUGCUAGAGGAUUAUUCAGGUGAAGUUCUAACAGGGUACUUUGUCUGCACAAUUUAUUAGAUUUAUGCACUACUUAGGGAAAAACAAGAGUAUGAAGCAGCCUGUCCUUUGCAAACACACACAACAGAAAAUAUCCCAAACCUUAACUUGUCCAACACACUUGAGAGCCACAAAUUCUGUUAGAGUUUUGCUAAAUGAGAGGAAUAUUCCUCCCCUCCUGUAUAAAACCAUCCUUUUAGACAUUACUGCAGUCAUGACCUCACCGCAGUUCCUGGAUUCCUUCUGAAAAGAUUAAAAUGAACUAAUACACAAAUGAUCUCAUCACAGCAUAAAGGACAUCUUACACAGGGGGGAAAAACUAAUCAGGAGAACUUCAGUGCUGCACUUGUAGUAGCAGUAGAAACAGAACUGUAACACCACUGUGGAAAAACAAACUAGAGGUACAAUGCCAGAGAGACAUUUUUCCAUCUAAUGAACCAUUUGGGUUUGUCCUACCUCAUCCUGCCUGUCUCACCUGUCAUCCUCUUAGCUGUCUCCACAUCUAUCAUCUUUCCCUUUUUCCUGCCUUUGUCUACAAUUUCCUUUGUCUAUUCUGUGCCUUUCCCACCUGUUUUAAUAUUCCUGGUAACUUUGAAUUGUGUGCACUACUAUUCUCAACGACAUCCAAAAUGCAUUUUGCAGAGUACAUUCAUACAGUCACCUUACACAAAAGUAUUCACACAUACUUCAUCUGUAGUUUAUGUCAUUCUGCAUUAAGAACACCUUUUCUAUGUUUUCAUACAGUUCUCACCCCAAGGGGUCAUGGAUGGUGACAGCUCUGAUCUACUUUGGAGCUGUUCUAUCCUCUAAGAGAAAUCAGGAAGAUGAGCUGGGAGAGAUGCUUUACUUUCUUUGGUAGGACAAUCUAUAAAUUAACAUUUAUGUAAGUGAGACUCUCACCACAUUUUUAAUGUUAUGUCACAUUUGAGGCUGGAAAACAGAAUGUCUUGGAACUAGGUGAUCUUGGAGGUCUUUUUCAACCCAAGCUUUCCUGUGCUUCCAUGAUCUUCAGAACAAGAUGGAUAGAGUGUUACUAAUGCAACCUUAUCUCUGGUGCCCACGGGUGCUCCUCAGCUCUGCCUUGAGGUGACACCGUUAAGCAAGAGGUGACAAACCGGUUUCCUUUCCCAAGGAAAUGUCACGUAACGUCCCAGGGCCCCCUUUGGUGGGUGUUGCACCCUGAUUUUCAAGGAGAGAUGUGCUGCUGUGGCCCCUUCCCAGCCUGGCAGGAGGAGCUGAAGCUGCCCAUUCACAGCAGUGACAUUUCUCAGGCAGGAAGAGAGGCAGAAGGGGGAAAUGUAGGGAGGGAUCGGGGCAGCCACCUUUGGACACUGGCAAAGAAACCUGCAGAACCCAUCCAUAGGGGAUGACUCCCAGACCAUGGUGGUACUAAGGGUGAUGGUACCUUUCUAUCCACUCAACAAGAUUUGCUGCUCCUAAAUGGGGGAGCAAAUACAUCCAAUCACAAAUGCUCUGCAGCUGAUAGACCUGCUUCAGUGAAGAGCGCCCUGAGCAGUGAUGAGUGUUGUAGGAUAUGUGCUGCAGCAUUAGGACAGCCCAAACAGCCCAAGGAGCAGCGCAGAUCAUCUGUCACCAACAAGAAAACAGCAUGUGAAAAGCUGCUGUAGCUCCUGUCCCCAGCAGCCUAACUGGAGGCACAGACUUCCCAAGGCUUGGAGCACUUGGAGAGCUCAGGAUCCUCAGUGACAUCUCUCCCCAAACGCUGCAGAUUUACCAGGUCAGCUCAGUCCAGGCCAAAGUUGCCAGGAAAGGUCCUUGGCUGUGCUCCAAGUUCAGUGCUCUAUUGAUUGGAGAGGUAUUUAUUGUAGGUCAGGAUCUUGAGCCAAGACAGCUGAAGCUGCAAGGACUAAAUUGUCUAUUCCCGACCCACAGAUAAAACAAAUGGCCAGUUUUAGCCUAAUCAUCACUUCUGCCUGAGGAGAGAGAAACUCUUUGAGGUUUAUCUCUAAUUCUGUUGGAAUUGAUUGAAAUUAUUCCAUUGACUUCAGCAAACUCUGUUUUCUGCUGGAUUAAAGGCAAUAUUUGUGCAUCAGAUUUGCUGGUGAUGUCCCACUAAUGAAGCAGUCUCUAAUGCACUACGUGAUAGGAGCAAGGAAGAUACCUCAUGAGAAGAAUUAGUUUGACUUCUGACAUUUUUCUGUACAUCUGCUGGGAGUUUCUGCCACAGAGGCCAUAGAAUCAUGGAGUCAUUAAGGUGGGAAAAGACCUCUGAGAUCAUCUGUUCAACCAUUAACCCAACACUGCCAGGUCUAGCAUUAAACCAUGUUCCUGAGCACCGUAUCCACACAUUUUUUGAGCACCUCCAGGUAUAGUGGCUGCACUUCUUCUUUGGGCAACUUGUUCCAGUGCUUGAGCACCCUCUCAGUGAUGAAAUUUUCCCUAAUAUCCAACACAAACCUCCCCUGGUGCAACUUGAGUUUCUUCCUCUUGUCCUGUGGCUUGUCACCUGGGGGAAGAGACCAACCCACACCUGGCUGCACCUCCUAUCAGGGACUUGUAGAGAGUGAUAAUGUCCCCCCUGAGACUCCUUUUCUCCAGGCUGAACACCCCUAAGCUCAGAGGAGAUGGUGAGGGGCUUGCAGAACCUCUGGUGUAACCCUACUCCUCUUUUUAGGCAAGGCAAGCAGCUUGAAAGCUUGCUCCUCACUCCAGAAACCUGUGUAAAACCUCAGGAUUCUCUGUCGUUGUGCAAAACGGGAAACGACAGGACACGGGGAGGAAGGUGAGUGGGGCAGCAAAAGUCACAAGGAAAGCAUUUUCUGAGUGGCUGGUGAGGGCCCUUACCUUGGUGCUGUCCCCAGGGCUUCUCUCUAGUGGCAGGCACUUGGCUCUCCUCCUUGUACGUGCUGUUCUUCCCCUCGAGCAUCACUUGAGAGCUGCAGCAGAAGGUUCCCUCCUUCAAGAUGGACAGAAACACCAACACAGUCUUGCCCACUCUUCAUUCCUCAUUUCUUCUGCAGAGAAUUCGUUCCAAAUUUGGCUCGUGACAAAUGCCUACACAAGGCUUGGACAAACAAGCAUUAAAAGCAGCAGUGGGAAUUUUCUUUUGGGGGUUAAAGAAUAGCUAUGAAGCAAAAGUUGCUAACUGUACCUUGAGGAGUGAUUUUUUUUUUCCUGCAAAAAAUAACAUGUUCUUCAGUGUAUAUGGCUGUACCCACCCCGACAGUGCAGGUUUUCCUGUCUGUUUGGUGAAUUCUGUGUCUGGCACCACAGAAAAGACCGUCUCAUCUGAAAUACCCUGAGUGCAUUUUCCUUGCAGGAAAAAGUUCUAACAGUCCUGCUGCAAAAUUUACACACUGACAGAGAAACAGUGCACAGGUUGUGCAAAACCCAUGAUAAACUUUUACUUCAACAAAAAGAACUUUUAAUCAAUCCUGUUUGAGAGGAAUGGAAGGGGCCAUAGGCAUAUAGACCUUAGAGAAAUGUAAGUUUUUCAUAAAUGGAUACUCAGAAAUAUGGAUAAUUUCAGCAGUAUUUGAGAAUUUCACUGCUGGAUCAAUUUAGCAUGAAGUUCUCAAUUAUUCUUUCCUGGAAGUCAUCCCAAACAAGAAUGCCCUGAUAUACUGAAUUAAUGAUAAAAGUGGAUUGUGGCUAGGGUUUUCCAUGAGAACUUUGUCCUGGAAAAUAUCAAACAAGCAAAAAGGUUUGGAUUGAAUAAUGAAGUUUCCAUGAGGCUUCUCCGCUGCAAAAAAAAAGAUGUUAAAGAUUUUUAAAAAUCAUUGCAAGUGUCCCAAUAAUAUUAUUCUAAGUGAAUGUAUAUUUGCUUUGAAAUAUUUUUGAUUUUAAUUUUUAAUUUAUAAGUGAAAGUAAAAAAAUGAAAUAUUUUGAAACUACUGAAGCAAAUGGCUCAGUUAGAUUUUUCACUUUUUAGCAGCUUAUUGGUUAGCCACAGAAUUAGCUGAAAGAAUAUGAAAUCCUGAAAACUCCCAAGGGACAGAAGAAAGCACUUCCCUGUCAGCUAUAAAAUGAGUGAAAAUUAUAAUGACAUUUUCAUUUAUCACAGAGAUUUACUAAAACACCCACAUUUUUCACAGAAGUUGCAAAGACUUGAACUCGGACACACUUUUUGUUUCUCCCCAGGUGUGAUGCUUAAUGAUAAUGUUUUUACUAGACCUGGUCACACACCCUCUCAGAUAAAGAGCUGGAGGUAUUCCAGCCUCUACAGGGGUAAUAAUCUCUGCUUCAUAUGCUAGCACAAGAAGGAGGGCAGGAAGCACAGGCAGGAAAUUUCACCAUUUUAUUUCAAACGAAUGCAUUUAAACAGGAAAUGAUAAUUAAAUAAUUCAGAAGUGAGCUAUCCAAGGGCAAAGAGCCCCAGAUGCCGUGAGGGGUUAAGCUUUGUAGGGCGGAGAGGGAAGGCCUGUGUAGCUUCACUGUGCUAAUGGUGUGGGGAAAGAACUUCUGAGAUGCCUGCUCAAUUUGUCAGGAUUUUAUCUUCUGAACUAUUACCUCCAGCUUUCCCCAGAACACCCUUCCCAGCCCUUUUAUCUGCGAGCUAUCUUCGAGUUAACUGUCUGCCUAUUGCCUUGGCUGAACCACACUAAUAGUCAGCUAAUUACACAUGAACACUCUAAUUUGCUUUGUCUUCCUCAAAAAAAGUUCACGCUUGUGCAGGCACGCACACACGAGUGCACUUCUGCCCGUGCCACGAAGCUGCACCAGCUGGAUUGGGAUGAAAUUUGUUCCAUUUGUUUCCUGCCCCCUCUGAUGCUUUCCCCUCACCAGGCCACCACCAACGCUUGUCAUUCCUGAUUUGCAACAUCACCUGUUGCUCCAGCACCAGGCUCCUGCAGAGCAGAAACUGGAGCAAAGAAGAGAAAUACGUGUUUGUCAUUGAACUGAGCUGAGAAGAAGGAAGAGGAGAAUGAUAAGAUCAUAGCCUGCAGCACUUUGUUUAUGAGAACAUCCUUCCAGUGAUAUAUGUCUGCACCAGGUGAAAGUAUUGUGUCACCCCUAACAUAUUUUAAAUGCCAGGGCUGUCAUGCAAGAAGACAAUGAUGAACAAGUUUAAACAGAAUAUGGUUUUGUAGCCAUGUACAGAGUUACCCUUUGAAGGUUUGCACUGGUAGUGCUUCUUAGCAAAAUGUUUCCAAGCUGUGUUAUAUUCCCCUACAGAACACCUCUCACACAGAAUUUAAACUAAAUGGAGACAUUUCUACUGCAGGCAAACUGAUGGGGGUGUACAUAAAGAAGUGCAUUUCCUCAGGCAGGAUUUUCAGGCCAUUUCACACGUCCUCCCUGCCACACUACCCAAGUUUGUCAUAACUCCUUGGAUAGGAGCCCUGCAAAUGGGCAAAGAAAGCUCUGUCUGCACCAUGCUCUGAGGAGCAGGGACUGGCCCAGGUGGAGGUUUACUCAGACUAACUCUAGCAUGCUCCUGUGGAGAGAAUUCCUGUUAGCUGCUGCUGCAGCUCCCAGACCACAUCACCUGCUUUAAUUCCACACUAAAGAAUUCCGUCUGCGUGCUCCAAGGCUGCCUGGCCUGGUGGGAUGUGGUAAGCAGGGUUAUAUUUGGGGGAUUCUCUUCAAAAGUGCACUCCUGGGCCAAAGUGAAAGGCUAAUGCAGGAGCACCUUUCCUCAGCAGGCAGAUAUGCCCAGAGCUAUCAUCACAUGGCAGUUUGCUUCCCAGAUAUUUAUCUGGAGCUCGACUGCACGAACACCAUCCCCGCGUUCUAACGCUGUUGCACAACACCACUCCUUUGGCUCAGACUGACAGCUCAAAUUGAGCCUUGGGAAAGCCAACAUCCAGCACACAACAUUGAGAAUGGGCAUGACCACAUCCACCUUGGAUUCAGGUGAAAGAGCUUUAGCUCUGUGUGUCACGUGGAAAUGGAGGCAGCCGUGACACCGCGGAGUCGUGAGGAAGAGUAAGGUCAGAGCCACUCCAUGACCCAUCCAUGACAGCAUUAAUAACUUCACAAGAGGGAGGAAAGGGAGCCUCUGAUUGCCUGAAAAAACCUUCCAGGAGGUAGGAUUUCUUAAGUACUUAUUAAGGUCCUGUGUGGGCUUGUGUAACGCGCUCAGCAUCUGCCCCUCAGUUUUCCUUUCUGUAAAAUGGGCAUACCUUCUUUUCCACAAGGUUAUUAGGAGGAUUUGCCAAUUAAGGUUCAUCAUAAAUGAAAGUGUCUGGCAAACAGUAUUUAAUCACCUGGCCAAAAAUGGUCUCCAACUUCUUUGGGCAGAAUGUGAGUUUUUAUAGGGACUAGUCACAGUGUCCAGAAGGCUAUGGGAUCACAGGCUGCAUCUUUAAGACAGAGUUUACUUCUGAAUCAGUAAGUGUACUAGACAAAGCAGCCAUUAUUUAUGCAUUCCUGCAUACAUGGCAAGGUGAAAAUAAUAGAAUAAACAUCAUAUACUUCAUUAUGAUAUCGGUUUACACUUCCAGGGUACACAAAAAGAGGCCAUUUCAUCAAGCUAAUUGCCUGAAAGUAAAAGAGAGAGAACUUUAGCUAUUAGUCUAUUAUGGGGCUUUUUUCUUAAUCACAAAUAGGGGCCGUGUGUCCCCAGGGGGAUGUGUAUUCUAAUUUACAAUUGAACUACAGAUCAGAGCAAUCAAUCUUGUGCAGCACUUUUACAGUGUAAUUGCUGCAACAUAACAAAUAAAAAA
Molecule: long non-coding RNA, 17961 nt
Organism: Melospiza melodia melodia
Lineage: Eukaryota; Metazoa; Chordata; Aves; Passeriformes; Passerellidae
Exons: 12
Source: RefSeq, a predicted model, not a curated record